CCUACGGGGGGCAGCAGUGGGGAAUAUUGCACAAUGGGCGCAAGCCUGAUGCAGCCAUGCCGCGUGUGUGAAGAAGGCCUUCGGGUUGUAAAGCACUUUCAGCGGGGAGGAAGGCGGUGAGGUUAAUAACCUCAUCGAUUGACGUUACCCGCAGAAGAAGCACCGGCUAACUCCGUGCCAGCAGCCGCGGUAAUACGGAGGGUGCAAGCGUUAAUCGGAAUUACUGGGCGUAAAGCGCACGCUGGCGGUCUGUCAAGUCGGAUGUGAAAUCCCCGGGCUCAACCUGGGAACUGCAUUCGAAACUGGCAGGCUAGAGUCUUGUAGAGGGGGGUAGAAUUCCAGGUGUAGCGGUGAAAUGCGUAGAGAUCUGGAGGAAUACCGGUGGCGAAGGCGGCCCCCUGGACAAAGACUGACGCUCAGGUGCGAAAGCGUGGGGAGCAAACAGGAUUAGAUACCCGUGUAGUC
This 465-nucleotide ribosomal RNA is filed under the name uncultured Klebsiella sp. RNAcentral's name for it is "bacterial SSU rRNA". It matches the Rfam family "Bacterial small subunit ribosomal RNA", at positions 338 to 795 of the family's 1533-position model. The record is from RNAcentral. Lineage: Bacteria; Pseudomonadati; Pseudomonadota; Gammaproteobacteria; Enterobacterales; Enterobacteriaceae.